RNAcentral lists this transfer RNA (65 nucleotides) under Xenorhina sp. TNHC-GDC 31177. Its description in RNAcentral is "tRNA-Trp". The record is from RNAcentral. Lineage: Eukaryota; Metazoa; Chordata; Amphibia; Anura; Microhylidae.
AAAUUUAGGAUAAAAAAACCAGGAGCCUUCAAAGCACCUAAUAGAAGUUAAACACUUCUAAUUUC